UACGGGGGGGGCAAGCGUUGUUCGGAAUUACUGGGCGUAAAGGGCUCGUAGGUGGCCAACUAAGUCGAACGUGAAAUCCCCGGGCUCAACCCGGGAACUGCGUCCGAUACUGGCAGGCUUGAAUUCGGGAGAGGGAUGCGGAAUUCCAGGUGUAGCGGUGAAAUGCGUAGAUAUCUGGAGGAACACCGGUGGCGAAGGCGGCAUCCUGGACCGAGAUUGACGCUGAUGCGCGAAAGCGUGGGGAGCAAACAGG
Molecule: ribosomal RNA, 253 nt
Filed under: uncultured bacterium
Lineage: Bacteria
Description: partial 16S ribosomal RNA
Rfam family: Bacterial small subunit ribosomal RNA
Source: RNAcentral